This 84-nucleotide transfer RNA is filed under the name Microdochium trichocladiopsis. It matches the Rfam family "tRNA". From Rfam's summary of the family: Transfer RNA (tRNA) molecules are approximately 80 nucleotides in length. Their secondary structure includes four short double-helical elements and three loops (D, anti-codon, and T loops). Further hydrogen bonds mediate the characteristic L-shaped molecular structure. tRNAs have two regions of fundamental functional importance: the anti-codon, which is responsible for specific mRNA codon recognition, and the 3' end, to which the tRNAs corresponding amino acid is attached (by aminoacyl-tRNA synthetases). tRNAs cope with the degeneracy of the genetic code in two manners: having more than one tRNA (with a specific anti-codon) for a particular amino acid; and 'wobble' base-pairing, i.e. permitting non-standard base-pairing at the 3rd anti-codon position. The record is from Rfam by way of RNAcentral. Lineage: Eukaryota; Fungi; Ascomycota; Sordariomycetes; Xylariales; Microdochiaceae.
CCCUUGGUGGUGUAGUUGGUUAUCGCGUCAGACUGUAAUUGAGUUGUAAUCUGAAUGUCACCGGUUCGAUUCCGGUCCGAGGGA